Molecule: long non-coding RNA, 431 nt
Organism: Zalophus californianus (California sea lion)
Lineage: Eukaryota; Metazoa; Chordata; Mammalia; Carnivora; Otariidae
Exons: 5
Source: RefSeq, a predicted model, not a curated record
AAGGUAAAUAUCCCGAUGGACUUGGGAACCAAAACUCAAUAGUCCUGUUUCAAUGAGAGAAAGUGAAAAACCAACGCAGCAGAGAGGAGUCACGAAUAAAUCUCCAAGAACUCCUUGGCGUGGCCACUUCAGGACCCUUUCCUGCAGAGCAUGAAGCAAAUCGAGGUGCUGCUGGACAAGAGAUGACGAGGAGAUGCUGCUGGCUUAGAAUCUCUCAUGUGGAAGGAAUACUACACCAAAAGACAUGCCAGGGACACUGAAGUUCUCAGAGACUAUCUUCAUUUUUUUAUCUGCGGUCACAGAAUUCCCCGACUGGAAACAAUAAACGACUUACCUUAAAUUUUAAUCAAUCUGAAAAGCAAAGGCAAUGAACACAUGGAUACCUUCUCUCUUUGGAAUUCCUCUUUCCAUCUGACCCUUGGAAUGUUGCC